Molecule: long non-coding RNA, 595 nt
Filed under: Zostera marina
Lineage: Eukaryota; Viridiplantae; Streptophyta; Magnoliopsida; Alismatales; Zosteraceae
Description: long non-coding RNA (ZMAR_LNC002303)
Source: RNAcentral
UGUGAUUGAUUUUUAUUUCUCAAUGAAUAUAUUACCCAAAGUAUCCUCUACUUAUAUACUACAAUCAAUACUAAUAUUCUGUUAACACAACUAACUCAACUAAAACAGUUUAAACUACUACUAAUAGCAAACUAAUUCUUAACCUAGUUGUUAUUACUAACAAUUACUAUUUGAGUAUACACAGAAGAUAUGAAUUAUGAAGUUUGCAAGUCCACUAGUUAUAAUUACUAACAAUGUAAUAACGAAAACCCAAUAUCGAUUGUUAUAAAUAUUUAUCAUUCCACCGUUCUCCGGCGAUUGUUUCGUCCAGCGAUUGCUUCCCAUUCGGGGACCAUUCCUAGGUUAUAAAAAAACAUAAAAUUAAACGAACCCAGUAAAAAAAGGUUUGACCCACAUGUUGAGUGAUGGACUUAAUUAGGUGGAUAGAUAUAUAUUCCAAUCCCAAAUUGGAUUGAUCACUGAACAAGUAUUCCGGUUAUCCAUUGCAUCAGUGCAGACAUCUGAGGGAUCUGGAUGGAGAUUAAGUUAGGUUUGGCUAACCAUGUUGAUGCAUGUCGAUAGUAACGGACAAAACCGUGAGUUUGUUUCAGUUAGG